RNAcentral lists this ribosomal RNA (254 nucleotides) under uncultured bacterium. Its description in RNAcentral is "partial 16S ribosomal RNA". It matches the Rfam family "Bacterial small subunit ribosomal RNA", at positions 524 to 776 of the family's 1533-position model. The record is from RNAcentral.
UACAGAGGUCCCAAGCGUUGUUCGGAUUCACUGGGCGUAAAGGGUGCGUAGGUGGCCAGGUAAGUUUGGUGUGAAAGCUCGGAGCUUAACUCCGAAAAGUCAUUGAAUACUAUCUGGCUGGAGGGUCGGAGGGGAGACUGGAAUUCUCGGUGUAGCAGUGAAAUGCGUAGAUAUCGAGAGGAACACCAGUGGCGAAGGCGAGUCUCUGGACGACUCCUGACACUGAGGCACGGAAAGCUAGGGGAGCAAACAGG